RNAcentral lists this ribosomal RNA (253 nucleotides) under uncultured bacterium. RNAcentral's name for it is "partial 16S ribosomal RNA". It matches the Rfam family "Bacterial small subunit ribosomal RNA", at positions 524 to 776 of the family's 1533-position model. The record is from RNAcentral.
UACGUAGGGUGCAAGCGUUGUCCGGAAUCAUUGGGCGUAAAGAGCUUGUAGGCGGCUUGUCGCGUCUGCUGUGAAAUUUCGGGGCUCAACCCCGAGCCUGCAGUGGGUACGGGCAGACUAGAGUGUGGUAGGGGAGACUGGAAUUCCUGGUGUAGCGGUGAAAUGCGCAGAUAUCAGGAGGAACACCGAUGGCGAAGGCAGGUCUCUGGGCCAUAACUGACGCUGAGGAGCGAAAGCGUGGGGAGCGAACAGG